CCUACGGGAGGCAGCAGUGGGGAAUUUUGGACAAUGGGCGAAAGCCUGAUCCAGCAAUGCCGCGUGCAGGAAGAAGGCCUUCGGGUUGUAAACUGCUUUUGUACGGAACGAAACGGUCCGCUUUAAUACAGUGGGCUAAUGACGGUACCGUAAGAAUAAGCACCGGCUAACUACGUGCCAGCAGCCGCGGUAAUACGUAGGGUGCGAGCGUUAAUCGGAAUUACUGGGCGUAAAGCGUGCGCAGGCGGUUAUAUAAGACAGUUGUGAAAUCCCCGGGCUCAACCUGGGAAUUGCAUCUGUGACUGUAUAGCUAGAGUACGGUAGAGGGGGAUGGAAUUCCGCGUGUAGCAGUGAAAUGCGUAGAUAUGCGGAGGAACACCGAUGGCGAAGGCAAUCCCCUGGACCUGUACUGACGCUCAUGCACGAAAGCGUGGGGAGCAAACAGGAUUAGAUACCCUGGUAGUCCACGCCCUAAACGAUGUCAACUGGUUGUUGGGUGCAUUAGUACUCAGUAACGAAGCUAACGCGUGAAGUUGACCGCCUGGGGAGUACGGCCGCAAGGUUGAAACUUAAAUGAAUUGACCGGNNGAGAGNGCGACGACGACGACGAGGAGGAGG
This 618-nucleotide ribosomal RNA is filed under the name uncultured bacterium. Its description in RNAcentral is "bacterial SSU rRNA". It matches the Rfam family "Bacterial small subunit ribosomal RNA", at positions 338 to 956 of the family's 1533-position model. The record is from RNAcentral.